UGUUCACCUUUCAGUAAGAUACCAGACA
Molecule: non-coding RNA, 28 nt
Filed under: Rattus norvegicus (Norway rat)
Lineage: Eukaryota; Metazoa; Chordata; Mammalia; Rodentia; Muridae
Source: RNAcentral